AGUCUCUUUUGGAGAGCUGUGAACGUGACCAGACCUAUUAAUUACUUAACUGAGGUGCUGAACUUUGAAAAUGAAAGUUCCGGUGGGGAGUUCUGUCCUUUCCAGCCUGGGGAGCUCUGUCAGGGCUCUCCUGAGCGUCUCUUUCAGCUUAUCAAGCUCGCUCGGGGACCGUCUCUGCCGCCAUGUAGGAAGUGCCUUUAGCCUUCUGCCAUGAUUGUGAGGCCUCCCCAGCCAUGUGCAACUACUGGGAAAGUGAGGUGCAGAGGUAUUUUGCAACGUGCCCACAGAACCCCAGCGAGCCCGUGUUGGAGUUACAACUGUGCCUCAGGGAGCAUUCUCAGGCAGCAUUCUCUUAUGCUUCACCGUCUCACAGAUGAUAAGGUUUCAUUCAAGGACUUACAACAGCAACCCGGAGGGAGCAUUCUCAGUGGCUGGUAGAUGCCAUUUGUACUGAGCAGGACAAUUAAGCCCAAUUCUGGAAAAAUUCUGCUUUCUCUAUUCAAUGCAUUUUAUAAAUGUCUUCACUCAGCACAUUUACCCUACUAAUUAUAUUUUGCUUUGUGAUCAUGG
Molecule: long non-coding RNA, 570 nt
Filed under: Homo sapiens (human)
Lineage: Eukaryota; Metazoa; Chordata; Mammalia; Primates; Hominidae
Description: HSALNT0403953
Source: RNAcentral